GUGCUUGCUUCGUCAGCACAUACACUAAAAUUGGAACCAUAAAGAGAAGAUUAGCGUGCCCCUGUGCAAGGAUGACACACAAUUUUGUGAAGUGUUCAUGGUUUUG
Molecule: small nuclear RNA, 106 nt
Organism: Diceros bicornis minor
Lineage: Eukaryota; Metazoa; Chordata; Mammalia; Perissodactyla; Rhinocerotidae
Source: RefSeq, a predicted model, not a curated record